Molecule: long non-coding RNA, 558 nt
Organism: Papaver somniferum (opium poppy)
Lineage: Eukaryota; Viridiplantae; Streptophyta; Magnoliopsida; Ranunculales; Papaveraceae
Exons: 3
Source: RefSeq, a predicted model, not a curated record
UCAUUUCUUGAGUUCAAACUUCAAAGUCUUUCUCUUCUGCUUUUAAGUGCCUCUUUGUAGCUUUCUCGCUCUCCACUCUCUAAUCAGCAGUAGAAGAAGAAGAUUACGAAUGGCGCUCCCAAUAGGACCUUACUCAGGCACAAGCUCACUCGCUUUGGUUGCUCGUGCUUCGGCUUUCACCUUUGGUCUCGUUUAUGGAAGCGUGAAGCUUAAGGUUCUUCAGGCUAAAAAGAAGUCGGCAGCUAAGGCUCAUCAUUAGAGAAUGCACUUCACUAUAUCCAUGGCAUGUUUGGCCUAAGUAUGUUGGAAGCUAUUUUGUAAUAAGUAGGGAAAAAAAUAAUAAUUGUUCAACAGUAAAUCCACUCUUUUCUUGUUUUAUUCCUUUUGUUUCUAAUUGGCAGUUGGCUGUUUACAUGCCAAUGACUUGAGGAUGGUUCUCUUCAUCAUGGUUGCUGGUGUAGUUCGAAAAUCAUGUUGCGGACUACUUUUCUGUGUAUUUUUCAAUUUUAAGAAAACUUGUUGGUAGUUUUCAAUCUACAGUAUUAUUCUCUUUGAUUG